This 404-nucleotide ribosomal RNA is filed under the name uncultured bacterium. RNAcentral's name for it is "bacterial SSU rRNA". It matches the Rfam family "Bacterial small subunit ribosomal RNA", at positions 38 to 487 of the family's 1533-position model. The record is from RNAcentral.
GGCGGCACGCCUAACACAUGCAAGUCGAACGAAGUAGCAAUACUUAGUGGCAGACGGGUGAGUAACAUGUAGGUAUCUGCCCUUUGGCCUGGAAUAACACGAGGAAACUUGUGCUAAUACCGGAUAAGUCUUUACGGAGAAAGCUUUAUGCACCAUUGGAUGAGCCUGCACUUGAUUAGUUUGUUGGUGGGGUAAUGGCCUACCAAGACUGUGAUCAAUAGCUGAUUUGAGAGGAUGAUCAGCCACAUUGGGACUGAGACACGGCCCAAACUCCUACGGGAGGCAGCAGUGGGGAAUCUUGCACAAUGGAGGAAACUCUGAUGCAGCGAUGCCGCGUGAGUGAAGAAGGCCCUUGGGUUGUAAAGCUCUUUCGUCGGGGAAGAAAAUGACUGUACCCGAAUAAG